Molecule: long non-coding RNA, 358 nt
Filed under: Zea mays
Lineage: Eukaryota; Viridiplantae; Streptophyta; Magnoliopsida; Poales; Poaceae
Description: long non-coding RNA NONZMAT002350
Source: RNAcentral
GCGGUCAUCGCAGGCUCCUUGGGGCGUAUGGAUUCAACCACCACCGCGAAUUCCUCGACGUUUGACUUGGGGAUCCCCGCCUUCGUGAUUAAAAGCCCGGGCGCGCCGUGCUCUUCUCUCUGUUCGCGACCACCUCCAAGCUUUGACAGUAGACAUUGCCGCCGAGAAGUUGAGGAUUAGAGAGGAGAGAGAACAAGCGUCGCGACCACAACAUUCACUACACCCGCGCUCGGUUCGUGUGGCCGCUAAGGAAUCCGGAGCGGCGGAACUUUCUGGUGCGGCGGCGGAUCUUCUCGGUGCUCCCAUCACGUGGCGAGCCCUCCAGUCGUGCGCGCCGGCCUCGUCCUCGACUCUGCAG